UCCCUGGUGUCUCAGUGGUGAAGAAUCUGCCUGCAAGGCAGGAGAUACAGGUUUGAUCCCUGGGUGGGGAA
RNAcentral lists this transfer RNA (71 nucleotides) under Capra hircus (goat). It matches the Rfam family "tRNA". From Rfam's summary of the family: Transfer RNA (tRNA) molecules are approximately 80 nucleotides in length. Their secondary structure includes four short double-helical elements and three loops (D, anti-codon, and T loops). Further hydrogen bonds mediate the characteristic L-shaped molecular structure. tRNAs have two regions of fundamental functional importance: the anti-codon, which is responsible for specific mRNA codon recognition, and the 3' end, to which the tRNAs corresponding amino acid is attached (by aminoacyl-tRNA synthetases). tRNAs cope with the degeneracy of the genetic code in two manners: having more than one tRNA (with a specific anti-codon) for a particular amino acid; and 'wobble' base-pairing, i.e. permitting non-standard base-pairing at the 3rd anti-codon position. RNAcentral also lists the same sequence under 1 other name. The record is from Rfam by way of RNAcentral. Lineage: Eukaryota; Metazoa; Chordata; Mammalia; Artiodactyla; Bovidae.